This is a long non-coding RNA of Stegodyphus dumicola, 675 nucleotides long. RefSeq lists it as uncharacterized. The record is from RefSeq and is a predicted model, not a curated record. NCBI's taxonomy places the organism in Eukaryota, Metazoa, Arthropoda, Arachnida, Araneae, Eresidae.
CUCAUUUUCAAAGUGACAUUAUUUUAAAGUUACCUUGACCGAUUUUCUUGCUUUUGAUUGCUAUAGAGUCACAUACAAUUUGGCCAACAGAGCUGCAACCCUGAGCAGAAGCUGUAUGCAUAGUUUGGACCAAUAUAUUUAUGAAAUAAAGCAAAGGAGUGCAAUUCAUUGGAUGAAAAGAUAAGAAAUAUUGAAUUGUAAUAAUCCUGUUGGGAACAUUUGACUGUUGGCACAGUCAGCCUUUCUACAGGAACUACUACCCGUCUUUUUACAGGAGCAUUUGACUGUAUCCUGCUUUCUACAGAAACAUUUGACUGUAUCCUGCCUUUCUACAGAAACAUUUGAUUGUGCCAACAGGAAUUCAAAGUUUACGACACGCACGUGCUUGUGGGUGAAAAUUCGGAAAAUACUUUUUUCUCAAAUAUUUUGUAAUUUUGUGUUAUUAAUUGCAAUGUAUUAUUUUAAUUUGAAUACAUUUGGCUCUGUAAAUUUUAUAUCAAUUUUCAUGGCAAAAAAAUAUGUGCAACCAGCUGAUUUUGCUCGGAUUCUCAAGAAUUAUCUGACGAAGAAAAGGAAACCUUUGGAUGGGAGAACAAUAGCGAUUUCCAUUCCUUAUUUUUUGUUUAUUUCUACUUUUUAGAAAUAAAUAAAAAUAUUAAAGUUAGUUUAAACUAA